This 4252-nucleotide long non-coding RNA is filed under the name Homo sapiens (human). Its description in RNAcentral is "HSALNT0026277". The record is from RNAcentral. Lineage: Eukaryota; Metazoa; Chordata; Mammalia; Primates; Hominidae.
CAAGCAUUUACCAAGUUACACUCCUAUAAGGAAAGUGAGAAAGUGCCCAUUGAUGCAGGGCCUGUCCAUUUGUUUUCAAUCUUGCAAUCAUGAAAGAGGUAUAUUCUUAAAAAUUUAAAGCUGGGCAAAAUAAGCCUUCUGGCAACAUAUAGCUCUUGAUUUCUAUGUUUUACAUUUAACUAUGGCACACUCUGCUUCUGUAACAGUCACUGUCACCGAGCCUCCCCUCCUCCCCGUGACGAGGUUCCUGGUGACCUCACAGAUGCAGCCCUCAGACAUACAGGCACCCGUGUCAGGGCUCCCACUCGGCAAGGGAGGAAAAUAAAAGGAGAAUCAAGUGAAGGGAAAGGAGAAAGGAGGCAGAAGAGAACACAAGAAGUUCCCUUUAACAGGAGGAAAAGAAACAGCGAUGAUCUAAAGGACAAAGAAGUUGAUUCUACAGAAAACCAUGAGAAUCUACAAAUUCCACCGUUUAAACAGGUCAGCUUCACCUGUUAUGAUUAGAGUUAACAGAGAAAUGGAUAUCAACAGGUUUCCAGGAAAUAAGUCUGGUGAUGCAAUCACAAAAGAUGAUACCUCACUUUAAAUCUGAUGACUUCAAAGUAGGCCUGAGAUGACUACCCUCAAAUAGGUUGAUUUUGGCAUCAGUAACACUACAGGUAAAAGCGUGCAUUAAAACUGAAGCCACAGCCUGCACAUUUGCUUCUGUAGUCCAGCAUUUAGCUUGUCUGCUGAAGAACGGUUUUAAAAAUAUCCCAGAGAAGAUGACACCACUUAUACUCUUUGACAAAUGAAUUGGGAGAUGAACAGACAUUGAAAAGAAUAUAGGAAAUGUAUCACAUUGUUUAAAAAUAAAGUCAAAAACAUCCUUUAGAAGCUUCAGAAACAAAAGCAGUAGUGUAUAAAAAAAAAGUCCUCAUUCUCAUUCAGCAACUAUGACCGAGCGCCCACUCUGCGCAAUGAGAUCUAUGAAGCAUUCAGUCAUCCGAGUUACAAGCGUGCGACGCCCAAGCAACAUCUUCCACCUGUCCCCUGCUGCAGCAUCCUCAGCCUCGGCCCUCUCCUCUGCCUCCGCGGUCUCUGUCAUCAGCAUCGUCUGCUCCAUCCUCGCUCUCCCAGUUCACACCCUUCACUUCUAAUCAGCACUCUGGCUAUAGCCUGUUCUAAAUUCUACCCACCUCUGACAUGCUGGGUCAUGCAAAAACAUUCAGGAGUAGGUCAUUUCUAGUCCAACCAAUGUCCGACUAAUUUAUCGUCGUAUGGAGGAACCUCCUCCACUUUUGUGGGGUAAACAGUUCCCGUGCCUUUCCUCAAACUCCUUUACAGGGUAUUCUCAGCGUUUUCUUCUCUUGAAUUCUUAGGAAGUGAACAUAAUUAUGGGACCAGAAUGGACAGCUAGAUGUACACCUGGAGUUAUGUUAAAUUGUGAACUGUUGCUUUAAAAAUGGGCUGGCCUUGAUGUCGCUGCUCCAGUGAGAACCGAAGCAGGGGCGGCGGCAGCAAAGCGCCUGUUCCCUGAAAAGCAGACCUCAGAACAGGAGGAACGCAGCCUGGGCCUGCAGGUGGGCAUGUGGGUAAGGAAGCCAUUGACGCCGCCGCCGCCGCACUCCUCAAAGGAAGAGCUUAACAGGCCAGUCGGGAGGGGUGUGUGCCAGUGGGUAGAUGCUACCGGGAGGGAGAGCAGGAAAUUCAGGGUAGGCUGAGUGCCGUAACUAACAGGAAUAAGUUCAGAGUUCAGAGAAACUUUCUUACUGAGUUUGGGCCCAGGCAUGACAUUCCAUUCUCCUCUAUCACCAUUCCAAAACAAGAGAUCACCUCUCCCUCUCCCUCCACGGGGAUUUCAGAUGUAUCUGAGAGAGUGGCUACACUCAGAUAAACGAAGUACAAUAAAAUAAAGCCUGCCACUGUAGCUCUGAGAAUGUGGCAUGUUGUUAUUAAUGGUACAUGUGACCAUUUCUCAUACGAACAGCAACAUUUUAGGCAACAGUGAUAAUCUAAAGGACAAAGAAGUUGACUCUACAGAAAACCACGAGAAUCUACAAAUUCCAUCCUUUAAGCAGGUCAGCUUCACCUGUUAUGAUUAGAGUUAACAGAGAAACGGAUAUCAACAGGUGAGCAGCUCAAAGCCCAACAGGGAAGUCACUGUUGUGACUCAUUCAUGGUUGCCCACGUCAAAUCAGUGUGUCACUUCCCACCCUUAAGGGUGUUUUUCCUAAUCAGGAAGCUUCUUUCUGGAGGUGGGGGAGCUCUUGAAUAUAAAAUCUUUCUCCUUUCCACAUGUCGUCUAUUUUUCUAAUACACUGGGUGCAGCUCAGAUGACAUGUGUGGGAUCCUGGGCUGUGAAAACUGGUUUUCAGAGGCCCUUGAACUCCAAGGGCUCUGAGUUAAGGGUAAAAUCCAACUACAGAGGAGUGAAGUUUUCUUGACAAGAAAGGAGUUGGAUGGGCCUGUCUCUGCCUCUUGUCAGCCGCAGAUCACGUGGGGACACUAGUGAACUGGGGGUGAGUGGGAAGAACCAGCUUCCCAAGCCCCAACAAAAAAAAAUGCCAAUUAAGGAAGCACCUCUGCAAAAGAGACUCUUUUUACCAACGGAAGCAAAUCCAGACUAGCAAAUUAGACCUUGCUGGGGAGCAGCAGGGAAGAUGAUCCAAAAGACCAAGGCACAGAGAAACCCUUAUUUAUUUUAUUUUUGUUUUAGAAAAACACCCAGGGGAGAGGUGAAUACUCUUUGACAACAGCUGCCAAGAAUAACAAGACUCAGAAGAAAUUAGGAGGCAGCAGCUAUAAAUAUACAGCAUAAGAGGAAAUGCAGCCCACAAUUUUAAGGGGAAAUGGGGCCUACUGCACUCAAAGACCAACAGUAAAAUUCAUUUAAAGGCACGGGGCAUCCCACUGGAGGACUGAGAGGAGUUUCACAGGCUUAUCUUUCAUGUCAAUCAGAAAAAUAUAUACUUGAUAAAAUAUUUUUCUUAAGUUAGUUAAAAAGUGGCUGUCAUUAGUAUCAACUUUGGGGGCACCAAAAAUUGCUUUAUGACUCAUGCAUUAAUUUAACAAAUUGUCAGUAAGAACAUACUAUGUAAUGUGCCAGUUGCUAGACAUUGAAAAGCCAAUAAGAAAUGUCUUUCAUUCUUGAACGCUAAGAGCUCACAGCCUCAUAAAGAUCAAAGUAUUUAAAUUUUUCCAUCAUGCAUCUCUUGAGUUUCCCAACUAAUCAGUUAAAACAGUGAGCCCAAGUUUCUUGGUCAGUGAUAAUGAGCCUUUUUGGAGAGACACAUUAUAUAGUAGUAAUUCCAUGGAUUUGAAUUCCCUCUGUGCCAUGCAGUGGUUGAAUGACCUUUAACAGAGUUUCUCGACCUCAGUACUGUUGACAUUUGGGGCUAGAUAUGGAGACACGGGACUUCCCUGUCAAAGGGGCCAUCUUGUGCACUGUAGGGUUCAGCAGCAUCCCUGGUCUCCACCUCCCAAAUGCCAGGAGUACCUCCCACUUUUGACAAGAAAAAGUGUCUCCAGACUUUGUCAAAUGGCCCCCCGUUAACUGCACUGUGCACAAAAUUUUUAAAAAAUCAAGAAACUAACGUUGCUUCCUUUUACUUUCCAUGGCCCUCUGUAAAAAGAGGAGUUGAACGAAUUAUUACAGUAGUCCGUGAUUUUAAACCCUUAAACGUAGUGUGUUGCCGGGGAAAAAUCAUGGCUUUAGAUUCCGUUCCAAUUCCAUCCAUUUCUGGUUGUUAGCUUUGGGUGAAUUCCUUCAUCUUAUUGAGGCCUGGACUCCUGUGCAAACGUAGGAAUGGCAGGGGGACUUAAAGGGUGUAUGCUAGAGUGCCCAGCAUACAGGAGAUGCUCCACAAUUCAGGGCUAAGCUAUUGCAGCAACUCUCAAAAACUAGUCUUUCUGAUCUAAUCUGAUGAUUGCAUAUUCCUAUUGAUAAAUGUAUCCAUGAGAAAGAUAAAACAGCUGCUCUAACAGCUGUCUGAAAAUGUCAAAAUGAAUAACAAAAUUAAAGUUUUCUCUUGCUAUACGAAGUCUGGUAUAGAUGUUCCUCACAGGCUCUGCUCCAAACAGUGUGAGGAAUCCAGGCUCCCUCCAUUGCCAACAUGGCCAUUCAUGGUCUCUAAGCCACCACAUGUGUGCCAGGUGCACAGACACCCCACUGUGGCCUGAAGGGGACACAUUCUGUGCUCUCAUGUCCCAGCAGCCGGGAGAGUCACAUGAUGCCACCUGCACACAGGAAACUUGUGGAGUGCAAAUAGUC